This 67-nucleotide transfer RNA is filed under the name Kuphus sp. PMS-3700M. RNAcentral describes it as "tRNA-Ile". Lineage: Eukaryota; Metazoa; Mollusca; Bivalvia; Myida; Teredinidae. The record is from RNAcentral.
GAUGUUGUGCCAGAUAAUUGGGCUUCUUUGAUGUGGAAGAGAAUGUAGGUUGGUCCUGCCAACAUCA